RNAcentral lists this ribosomal RNA (474 nucleotides) under uncultured organism. RNAcentral describes it as "bacterial SSU rRNA". It matches the Rfam family "Bacterial small subunit ribosomal RNA", at positions 28 to 507 of the family's 1533-position model. The record is from RNAcentral.
GAUGAACGCUGGCGGUAUGGAUAAGGCAUGCAAGUUGAACGGAACUUUUGUUUUCUCUAGUUGAGAUUAUAUCAAUGCUAAAGGUCGCUUAAGUUUAGUAGCAAACGAGGUAGGAAUAUAUAGGAAUCUCCCCCAAAGUCAGGAAUAACUAGUCGAAAGAUUAGCUAAUACUUGAUACUCCGCAAGGAAAAAGAUUUAUCGCUCUGGGAUGAGCCUAUAUGGUAUCAGCUAGUUGGUAGUGUAAUGGACUACCAAGGCUAUGACGCCUAGGAGAGAUGAGAGUCUGACCUCCACCGAUGGGACUGAGACACGGCCCAUACAUCUACGGAUGGCUGCAGUCGAGAAUAUUUGACAAUGGACGCAAGUCUGAUCAAGCAAUACCGCGUGAACGAUGACGCUUUUCGGAGUGUAAAGUUCUUUUAUGUGGGAAAAACGAUGAUGGUACCACAUGAAUAAGGGGUUGCCAACUCUGUG